GCAGCUUGCGGUGAUGAGGCUCACCGGAGACCCAAACCGCCCAUCAGGGCUGAUAGCCUCUGUCGUUUC
This 69-nucleotide non-coding RNA is filed under the name Thermanaerothrix daxensis. RNAcentral's name for it is "Fluoride sequence". It matches the Rfam family "Fluoride riboswitch aptamer (crcB RNA motif)". Lineage: Bacteria; Bacillati; Chloroflexota; Anaerolineae; Anaerolineales; Anaerolineaceae. The record is from Rfam by way of RNAcentral.